UAGGGAAUCUUCCACAAUGGACGCAAGUCUGAUGGAGCAACGCCGCGUGAGUGAAGAAGGUUUUCGGAUCGUAAAGCUCUGUUGUUGGUGAAGAAGGAUAGAGGCAGUAACUGGUCUUUAUUUGACGGUAAUCAACCAGAAAGUCACGGCUAACUACGUGCCAGCAGCCGCGGUAAUACGUAGGUGGCAAGCGUUGUCCGGAUUUAUUGGGCGUAAAGCGAGCGCAGGCGGAAUGAUAAGUCUGAUGUGAAAGCCCACGGCUCAACCGUGGAACUGCAUCGGAAACUGUCAUUCUUGAGUGCAGAAGAGGAGAGUGGAAUUCCAUGUGUAGCGGUGGAAUGCGUAGAUAUAUGGAAGAACACCAGUGGCGAAGGCGGCUCUCUGGUCUGCAACUGACGCUGAGGCUCGAAAGCAUUGGUAGCGAACAGG
RNAcentral lists this ribosomal RNA (429 nucleotides) under bacterium. Its description in RNAcentral is "partial 16S ribosomal RNA". It matches the Rfam family "Bacterial small subunit ribosomal RNA", at positions 355 to 776 of the family's 1533-position model. The record is from RNAcentral.